Molecule: small RNA, 25 nt
Filed under: Bombyx mori (domestic silkworm)
Lineage: Eukaryota; Metazoa; Arthropoda; Insecta; Lepidoptera; Bombycidae
Description: ovarian small RNA-16422
Source: RNAcentral
GCACUCUUACACCCGACGUCCCCCC